UUUAUUUAUUUAUUUAUUUUUGAAGUUCCUGGGAAUGUUAGAUUAGAUUGGGGGGAGGUAAGAUUAAAAUAUGAUUUUUUUAAAGUUUUUCAAAGGAUUUUCAUGGUUUCGAGGUCUUUAUAAUUUUUUAGUGUUUAGAGGAAAGAGUGCUUUAAGGUAUUUGAGAUUUUAAAGAAAAUUCUUCUUAAUUCACCAAUUUGGGUCCAAAUACCUUAGUUUAAAAAAUCACAUAUUUUCCCAAAUACAAGUUCAAAGUUUUUAAACCCUUGAAAACCUCCUCUUACUUUAAAAAACCUUCUCACAAAGAAAGGGCAGGAGUUUUAUUUUCUUCCUAAUCUGGGUAAUUUCACAAACAUAUAUGUUGCCCCCAGGAUGCUUGGAACAAAUUCAGUG
Molecule: unclassified non-coding RNA, 393 nt
Filed under: Hevea brasiliensis (rubber tree)
Lineage: Eukaryota; Viridiplantae; Streptophyta; Magnoliopsida; Malpighiales; Euphorbiaceae
Source: RNAcentral